UUCCUGAAAAGCCUGGAAAUUCAGCUUUAAAUUGUUUUGUUUGUUUCUGUUUACCAAUGGUAUUCUCCUUCUAAAAGAGAAGCCCACAUCUCCCCAAAAUGAAAUCACUGCUGUGUCAAGUGAGCUAAAAUGAGAACCACAUGAAGAUAAGAUAGAUUUUUAUCAUGCUGCUACACUUUUUCAGAUUUUAUGCCUUCCCUGAUGCUGGAAUCAGAAAUUUACAACUAAUCAGCUUUAUUCCACGACUGAGGGAUAAAGUGGACUAAGUUCUGAAACCUCGACAAGCUGUAAAUCACAAUGACCUUCCCUCCUUAUAAUUGAUUCAUGUCUUUAUAAGAAGAGUCACCAGAAUGGAUGUUCACAAAGAAAAUACUACAUGAGGACACAACAAGAAAAUAAUUAUUUGCAAGUCAAGCAAAGAGGACUGAGGAGAAACAAAACUUGGUGCUCCUCAACUUUUACUAUCAGCCAUAAGAACUCUAAGAUCAUGCACUGGAAUUGAUGAGUGACAGCAUGGAGCCUAUCCCUUAGGAAGAACUCUCCAGAAAGCCCUGAAC
This is a long non-coding RNA of Heterocephalus glaber (naked mole-rat), 557 nucleotides long. NCBI's taxonomy places the organism in Eukaryota, Metazoa, Chordata, Mammalia, Rodentia, Bathyergidae. The record is from Ensembl.